This 447-nucleotide ribosomal RNA is filed under the name uncultured bacterium. RNAcentral's name for it is "bacterial SSU rRNA". It matches the Rfam family "Bacterial small subunit ribosomal RNA", at positions 355 to 825 of the family's 1533-position model. The record is from RNAcentral.
UGGGGAAUCUUGGACAAUGGGCGAAAGCCUGAUCCAGCCAUGCCGCGUGAGUGACGAAGGUCUUCGGAUUGUAAAGCUCUUUUGGCGGGGACGAUAAUGACGGUACCCGCAGAAUAAGCCCCGGCUAACUUCGUGCCAGCAGCCGCGGUAAUACGAAGGGGGCUAGCGUUGUUCGGAAUUACUGGGCGUAAAGCGCACGUAGGCGGAUUUGUAAGUCAGGGGUGAAAUCCCGGGGCUCAACCUCGGAACUGCCCUUGAUACUGCAAAUCUCGAGUCCGAUAGAGGUGAGUGGAAUUCCUAGUGUAGAGGUGAAAUUCGUAGAUAUUAGGAAGGACACCAGUGGCGAAGGCGGCCAACUGGCUCGAUACUGACGCUGAGGUGCGAAAGCGUGGGGAGCAAACAGGAUUAGAUACCCCCGUAGUCCCUGAGCGGGCUGGCAAGGCGCAU